Molecule: ribosomal RNA, 576 nt
Filed under: Amylomyces rouxii
Lineage: Eukaryota; Fungi; Mucoromycota; Mucoromycetes; Mucorales; Mucoraceae
Also listed under: 1 other name
Description: eukaryotic LSU rRNA
Rfam family: Eukaryotic large subunit ribosomal RNA
Source: RNAcentral
CUCAAAGUUGGAACCUGUUUGGCCUAGCUAAACCGGAUUGUAGACUGUAGAAGUGUUUUCCAGGCAAGCCGAGUAAAUAAGUCCUUUGGAACAGGGCAUCAUAGAGGGUGAGAAUCCCGUCUUUGGCUUGAGCAUUUGCCUUUUGUGAUACGCUUUCAAAGAGUCAGGUUGUUUGGGAAUGCAGCCUAAAUUGGGUGGUAAAUCUCACCUAAAGCUAAAUAUUGGCGAGAAACCGAUAGCGAACAAGUACCGUGAGGGAAAGAUGAAAAGAACUUUGAAAAGAGAGUUAAACAGUAUGUGAAAUUGUUAAAAGGGAACCGUUUGGAGCCAGACUGGCUUGUCUGUAAUCAAUCUAGGCUUCGGCCUGGAUGCACUUGCAGGCUAUGCCUGCCAACGACAAUUUGACUUGAGGGAAAAAACUAGGGGAAAUGUGGCCCACUUGUGGGUGUUAUAGUCCCUUAGAAAAUACCUUGGGUUGGAUUGAGGAACGCAGCGAAUGCUUAUUGGCGAGUUUUCCAGGAAGGUUUUCUGAGGUACUACGGUAUCAAGGUUGAUCUUUUUGGUUAUACUUCUAUU